Molecule: ribosomal RNA, 253 nt
Filed under: uncultured bacterium
Lineage: Bacteria
Description: partial 16S ribosomal RNA
Rfam family: Bacterial small subunit ribosomal RNA
Source: RNAcentral
UACGAAGGGUGCAAGCGUUGUUCGGAUUUAUUGGGCGUAAAGGGCGUGUAGGCGGACUGAUAAGUCAGGUGUGAAAUCUCGGGGCUUAACCCCGAAACUGCGCCUGAAACUGUUAGUCUAGAAUCUCGGAGAGGGUGGCGGAAUUUCGCAUGUAGGAGUAAAAUCCGUAGAGAUGCGAAGGAACACUUGUGGCGAAGGCGGCCACCUGGACGAGUAUUGACGCUGAGGCGCGAAAGCGUGGGGAGCAAACAGG